UGGCGGACGGGUGAGUAAUGUCUGGGAAACUGCCUGAUGGAGGGGAAUAACUACUGGAAACGGUAGCUAAUACCGCAUAACGUCGCAAGACCAAAGAGGGGGACCUUCGGGCCUCUUGCCAUCGGAUGUGCCCAGAUGGGAUUAGCUAGUAGGUGGGGUAACGGCUCACCUAGGCGACGAUCCCUAGCUGGUCUGAGAGGAUGACCAGCCACACUGGAACUGAGACACGGUCCAG
This 235-nucleotide ribosomal RNA is filed under the name uncultured bacterium. RNAcentral's name for it is "partial 16S ribosomal RNA". It matches the Rfam family "Bacterial small subunit ribosomal RNA", at positions 96 to 334 of the family's 1533-position model. The record is from RNAcentral.